Tachysurus vachellii is the source of this 833-nucleotide long non-coding RNA. RefSeq lists it as uncharacterized. The record is from RefSeq and is a predicted model, not a curated record. Lineage: Eukaryota; Metazoa; Chordata; Actinopteri; Siluriformes; Bagridae. The transcript is spliced from 2 exons.
CCAAACGCUCGAGGAAUCUCUUGUCAGUGAUCUGGAUUCCUCGCGCGAGGAGUAAAAACUAGAAUGUUCUAGAAACUUUUACCUCAGACACAAGAAGCAACUGACAAUAAAACACCUAUUAACGUUACAGUAAACGCUAAUAUACGAAGAAAGAAUGGAAGAAUCUUUGUCUGUCCAUGAAGUCUUUACAAGUUAUGUGACCCUUCUCCUGGAAUUGUUACGUCCGAGACUUGUGAUGCUACUUUUGCGGGAGAGAAUCGGAGUAGGUGCAGUAGGUGCGGUGGGUGAGGUUUCAUUGGGGCAGCCAUGUUGGCGAAGGAUAUCCACACACUCUUGGCUCCCAGCCUGUUGUGCUAGCGUUAAAGCUGUUUGGCCUUGAGGAUUCUUUGCUUUCACGUCACUGCCAUACUACAGAGAGAAAAAGACAAAAAAAAAAUGAAAAACCCAUAAUUCAAAAAAGAAACCUGAGAUAAAUCAGAAAUAUAUCAUGCUAUAAGAAUGUUACUGCCUUAUAUAAGUGUAAAUGUUCCUUGCUUAAAAGUAUUUUAAUUUGUCAUAUUAGCUUAAAAGAAAGUAUUGCUAUAGGUUUUAUAUAGUUUUGUUUUGAAAUGUAUUUUACCACUGCACAGUUGAAUUCUCAAGUCUGACUGAUCAGUAAAUAUUGAAAUAUUUUUCAUAACAGCAACACUAUAUGUUAUAUUAUAUAAUGUUAUAUAACACUAUAUAUUAAUCACAUGUUUAUGUUGAUGCAGGAUGGCUGACACUUCACAUAAAAACAGGUCUACAACAUGAAAGUCUCCAUUUUUUGGCUAAAAAAUAAAAAACAUCCAGCA